This 465-nucleotide ribosomal RNA is filed under the name uncultured bacterium. Its description in RNAcentral is "partial 16S ribosomal RNA". It matches the Rfam family "Bacterial small subunit ribosomal RNA", at positions 29 to 507 of the family's 1533-position model. The record is from RNAcentral.
AUGAACGCUGGCGGCGUGCUUAACACCUGCAAGUCGAACGGAAAGGCCCAAGCUUGCUUGGGUACUCGAGUGGCGAACGGGUGAGUAACACGUGGGUGAUCUGCCCUGCACUUCGGGAUAAGCCUGGGAAACUGGGUCUAAUACCGGAUAGGACCACAUUUUGGAUGGUGUGGUGGAAAGUUUUUCGGUGUGGGAUGAGCUCGCGGCCUAUCAGCUUGUUGGUGGGGUAAUGGCCUACCAAGGCGUCGACGGGUAGCCGGCCUGAGAGGGUGUACGGCCACAUUGGGACUGAGAUACGGCCCAGACGCCUACGGGAGGCAGCAGUGGGGAAUAUUGCACAAUGGGCGCAAGCCUGAUGCAGCGACGCCGCGUGGGGGAUGACGGCCUUCGGGUUGUAAACUCCUUUCGCUAGGGACGAAGCGUUAUGUGACGGUACCUGGAGAAGAAGCACCGGCUAACUACGUG